Molecule: ribosomal RNA, 253 nt
Filed under: uncultured bacterium
Lineage: Bacteria
Description: partial 16S ribosomal RNA
Rfam family: Bacterial small subunit ribosomal RNA
Source: RNAcentral
UACGUAGGGUGCAAGCGUUAAUCGGAAUUACUGGGCGUAAAGCGUGCGCAGGCGGUGAUGUAAGACAGAUGUGAAAUCCCCGGGCUCAACCUGGGAACUGCAUUUGUGACUGCAUCGCUGGAGUACGGCAGAGGGGGAUGGAAUUCCGCGUGUAGCAGUGAAAUGCGUAGAUAUGCGGAGGAACACCGAUGGCGAAGGCAAUCCCCUGGGCCUGUACUGACGCUCAUGCACGAGAGCGUGGGGAGCAAACAGG